GGCUACUUCAAAUGCCUUUAUUUCCUAUGAUUACAUUUUGACAACACAGAAAUGUCCUGACCACAUCCCAAAGUUCGUUUCCUCGUAGUUUCUCGUUUCUGCACAGAGUGAUUUAUGAGUCCAUGUUUGAGUCUUUUCUCUCCCCCUGAAACGUUUUUUCUUCUGCUGGAAAAAUCAUGGCUUUAGUACAGAAAUUAAACAUGCAGAUCACAGAAAGGCACAACUAUGGACACACUUCUACAACAAGACAGAAAGAAGAGAGACGUUCAGGCUCAGGACGUGGGUGAGAGACGGAGCCGGAUGGUGAUCAGGUCUUUGGACGUUCUGUAUCAUGGCUAUGCUCACAUUAGAGGACAGAGGAUAUGGACCAGGACUGAAGGAGCUGGUUGGCAGUAUUGCAUUGAGAAUAAUUACAUCUUUCUACACUGUUAGGGUCUGCUCUGUGCUCAGGAUUAGGAGGAAGACAAGGAUUUUGUUGCCUGCAUUGCAGAAAAGUGACAAAAACAAAAACAAAACAAAUACAGGGUUUGUUGGUCUAUAACACGGAGUCUAACGGCAGCUCGUACAGAUACACGACAGUGAGGAAACUAAAUGACUAAAACAGUUUUAGAGAGCGCAUUCUUAACUGUUAUUUUCAUUUUCACCUGUUUAUAUUUAUAUAUAUUUACCUAUUUAUCUUGAGUCCUUUAAACAGAUAAAGGUGUAAUCACAUGAAAUCAUGUUUUACGGACGUUUCCUUUUUACAAAUAGAUCUGACAUUUAUCUCGAAGGAUGAGUUCCUCCGUAUUCCCCUCAGCCUCCUUGAACAUAUCGACAGAGUCAUUAUCCUACAGAGGAUGGACCGUCCUGGAGAUAAGGUCAUUUAUUCCCAUAUACUCCAUAUGUUACAUGUAAAGGUUAAUCUAAUUCAUAAUCUGAACAUGUUAACUGUUUUCAGCUGGAAGCUCAGAUGGUGUUAGAAGACCGCUUUAAUCCAGAUGAUCUGACCUACAGAUUCACUUUCUUCACUAAUCUCAGAAAGGAUCUGGCUCUGGAUCUUCUCAGAUUGCAUGUUAGCAUCUGCCCACUAGCUAUUUAAAUGUACUUCAUUGGAUUCAACAUUAAAAGGCAAAGCUCUGAACUCGUUUCAGUGUUAUCUAGCUAAGAGUGAUGGAGAAUGAAGGUCACAGAACAGAGAUUUCAAGAAUAAGGUUGAAAAUUUACAAAGUUUCAGACAAACGUUUCUGAGGAUUGUAAUUUUAGUUUUCGGUUAGUUUGUCCACAAGUUACUGUGAAGAGAAACAACAGCGAUAGGUCAGCUGCUGGUGUCAAAAUGAUGAACAUGGAGCUUUUUGUGAAGUUAUUGUUAAACAGGUUUUCAUAAAUAACUGGAUAAAAUGAUCCAUGUUCCUCAUUUUAACUCAGACUCCUCCUCUGUUGACCUCCUGGGUUAUUUUCUUCAAUGAUUGACAAAUUUAUUCAUGUAAACUUAUGAGUUUAUUCUUACAAAUUUGCAUCAAUUCUUUUCUUGUAAAUGUAGUUUUUUCUUUUUUCUCAUCUUCCUUUAUUCUCAUAACAUUACUGACCUACAGAAUUGUACAGUAUCUUAUUUCUCCUCAAGGAUGAAUAAAGUUUUUUUUAAUCAUAUCUCAGUUGACUUCAUUCUUGAAAUUUCAGUUCGUUUCUUUCUCAAUGUGACUUUAAUCUUUAAUAGUAGGAACCUCAGAUUUAAUCAGAUAAUUAUGAUAUUAUAACCUAUUUUUGUUUCAGCAGCUCCAGUCUUUCCUUUUUCUUUUUUUGAACCAAACUAAUUUCUACCGCAAAGUGCAGGUCUGACGACGAAACAUUCACAUUUGUGCUAAUUACACUUGAGCAGCUAAGAUAAACAUGCUAACGGUAGCUAGCUACUUAGCUAAACUUCGGCAAACUUUUUCCCAUUAUUCACGUUGGGAAAAUCUCACCGCUGCCACCAAAGUAACUGAGUGUGAGGACGACUAUACUGGGUGAGUAAUAAAAUAAAGAAGAAGACAAGCAGCAGUCUUCAGUGUUGACAGCAGCGCCCGCUCUUUUUUUUCUUUUUCUUCCCCCACGGUAACUCAGACCUGGCAACACAAUAUUUUUUUCAUGGAUGGUAGGGGAAGGUCCCGCCUCCGUUGCCUCUGAUUGGCUAGAAAAGCUGGACUCUGAUUGGUUAUCCCUUAUGGCUGUGAAACGUCAUCACACACUCAAGCCAAGCGGCUGUCAGCUCUCUACAUCGAACAGAAUGUUACAGAACAUUAUCGCAAUUCUGAAUCUCCUAACCCUAAUGUUGCAGUCGAGUUUCCUAGUUUCCUCAGAAGUCAGAAGUCGGAGCUGAAAAUAACGUCACACCCAAGUUCCCAGCGUUUCAGUUAUCAAGUCGGAAGGAGUAAAAUCGGAGGCGGAAACAAGAUGGCUACAUCUACAAAAGUUAUUUUAGCGCUCGCCUUGUCUGAAUAUGAGGCAAACGCUAAAAUAACUUUCGUAGAUGCAGUCAUCUUGUUUCCCGAUUUUGCUUUUUUCCGACUCAGUAACUUAAACGCUGGGAACUCGGGUGUGACGUCAUUUUCAGCUCCAACAUCUGACUUCCUAGGUAACUCGAACGCUACAUAACCCUUACCCGACAGACGAUGACGUUUCACAGACAUAAGGAAUAACCAAUCGGAGCCCAUCUCUGAUUGACCUCUAGCCUCUAGCCAAUCAGAGGCGGGACCUUCCUCUACCAUCCGACGUAAAAAAAAAAUAAAUAAAUAAAUAAAUAAAUUGCGACCCGCUAACAACAACACUACUUCCGGUAUUCCUUCACAAUAAACCUCGGCACAUCCUGUAAUGACCCGUGUCUGCCUGAACUCCACUGAGAGCUGCUCCAACAGAAACAGGUUAUAAAAUAAUCAGACGUCUCUUCAUAUUAGUUUUACAGUCGUGUGUAUUUGAAAUAAUAAGGACUCUGGAGUCUGAACUUGGACCUCAGCCGUGAAUUAUAACAACAUGUGGUCCUCUGGCCUUUGGGUGGGCGUGGCCUCAGAGGAAAGUGGGCGCCGUGGGAAUAUUAUGAGUGGUCGGUGACUUUAAAAAGCAGAAGGGUUUGACUAAUGCCACAUUAAAAUGUCACUGAUGACACAGAGUCAAUAUCUCAGAGCAAGUGACACAGAACCAGCUCAUCCCAUCGCAGUUCAUUACUGAGACCGUGUCCAAUUAUGAGAUGGCGUUUGUGAUGGAAAGAUUAUUGAUGGCGUUCGGUUAGACACAGCGGUAAUAUUAAAAUAACAUAUAUCAUUUCAUAAGUGAAUUAUUAAAGUCCCUUAUUUCUUUUAAAGGUUUAACUGAACAUGUGUAAGAAGGUUUAUUUGAAAAUGAGAAGGUAAAAGUUAAUUAAAGGGAGGUUACAGUCCGUUAAAUUGUCCAGUGUGUCGACAUUUAAUAAACUAGAAACUGAACACUGAUCUGGCAGGUAGAAAUCAAGAGG
Molecule: non-coding RNA, 3463 nt
Organism: Xyrichtys novacula (pearly razorfish)
Lineage: Eukaryota; Metazoa; Chordata; Actinopteri; Labriformes; Labridae
Source: the annotation of a GenBank genome assembly